CAAGCCUCACCUGGAGCCUCCAUCCACGCCAUUGUCAAUAUGCACAGAGCGUUUUUAAAACUCAGACCAACAACCUCAUUUGCUUUCUUGGCUGUGCUGUAGGAAUGCCACACUCUAGCUCAGCUACAGGUAUACCUGACCACGGAUGGUCCUGAUCAUGGAUGAUCCAGCUUGAUCUUAGAGCUACCCUGUUGUGAUGGACCUGCCUAGCACUCACUGGACUUCAUCCUGUCCCUGACUGCAGAUUGAUUUCCCAGCUUGAUCUCAGACCUGCCUUGUCUCAGUAAACUUGCUUCAUGGUCGGGACCUAUGAGUGAACCUGAUUUAUAGGCCUGCCCUGUCCACCUCAACUGGGUGCUCUGUGAUGGGUUAUGAGUUCCAUAUGAGUUCCUUGCUACCUGUCCUUAAGGAAACAGCUGGUCCUUGCUGUUCCAUGAUGCCUGGUCUGAUUUUCUCGGCUACCUUCAACAGUAAGGAUGACAAGUGCCCCUUGUUUGCUUCAAGUAUAAAACAAUAAUAUUAGUGCCAUUACCAUAUGGAUUUAUCCUGUUCCACGUCCAUUAGCCACUAAUGCUGCAUUAAUGUGAGCUGGCUAUAUAAGAUCCUCCCUGGUGUAUGGUCCUAGCUCCCAUGGCAUGUAUAACAAAAGCGGCUUGGUUCCCCAUGGCUUCUCUCAUUCACUCCUAAUGUAUUUACCCACCCUGCCCACUUUUUCUAAUCGGUUUUAUCACUGGCUAUAUUAAUGGUGCCCCUGAAUAAUGACUGGAGUUGGAGAUAUGAAAUAUUGAAAAAUUGACUCUGAAAAGAACAGAAGCUGGAAACAAAUGGAAAAACCUUGCUGAGGGUGGUGUGUUUGUUCUUCAGAACUGUAAUCUAGCACUAUUCAAUGAUUUUAAAUGAUCAAAUUACCAAAAAGAAGAAAUGAUACUAAUAACUAUAUGUUUAAAUGUUCUUAAGAAACCUUUUUUAUUCUUUCCCAAGUGCUGUAAUUCAUUGCAAC
RNAcentral lists this long non-coding RNA (1000 nucleotides) under Anser brachyrhynchus (Pink-footed goose). Its description in RNAcentral is "lncRNA (ENSABRG00000019186.1)". Lineage: Eukaryota; Metazoa; Chordata; Aves; Anseriformes; Anatidae. The record is from RNAcentral.